Molecule: ribosomal RNA, 852 nt
Filed under: uncultured organism
Description: bacterial SSU rRNA
Rfam family: Bacterial small subunit ribosomal RNA
Source: RNAcentral
GGGGAAACGACAUCGAAAGCUUGCUUUUGAUGGGCGUCGACCGGCGCACGAGUGAGUAACGCGUAUCCAACCUGCCCAUCACUUGGGAAUAACCUUGCGAAAGUAAGACUAAUACCCAAUGAUAUCCCACGAAGGCAUCCGAAUGGGAUUAAAGAUUUAUCGGUGAUGGAUGGGGAUGCGUCUGAUUAGCUUGUUGGCGGGGUAACGGCCCACCAAGGCAACGAUCAGUAGGGGUUCUGAGAGGAAGGUCCCCCACAUUGGAACUGAGACACGGUCCAAACUCCUACGGGAGGCAGCAGUGAGGAAUAUUGGUCAAUGGGCGAGAGCCUGAACCAGCCAAGUAGCGUGCAGGAUGACGGCCCUAUGGGUUGUAAACUGCUUUUAUAAGGGAAUAAAGUGAGUCUCGUGAGACUUUUUGCAUGUACCUUAUGAAUAAGGACCGGCUAAUUCCGUGCCAGCAGCCGCGGUAAUACGGAAGGUCCGGGCGUUAUCCGGAUUUAUUGGGUUUAAAGGGAGCGUAGGCCGGAGAUUAAGCGUGUUGUGAAAUGUAGAGGCUCAACCUCUGCACUGCAGCGCGAACUGGUCUUCUUGAGUACGCACAACGUGGGCGGAAUUCGUGGUGUAGCGGUGAAAUGCUUAGAUAUCACGAAGAACUCCGAUUGCGAAGGCAGCUCACGGGAGCGCAACUGACGCUGAAGCUCGAAAGUGCGGGUAUCGAACGGGAUUAGAUACCCUGGUAGUCCGCACGGUAAACGAUGGAUGCCCGCUGUUGGCCUGAAUAGGUCAGCGGCCAAGCGAAAGCAUUAAGCAUCCCACCUGGGGAGUACGCCGGCAACGGUGCAACUCAAAGGA